UCCGGUUUGUCACCGGCAGUCUCCUUAGAGUUCCCACCUUUACGUGCUGGCAACUAAGGACAAGGGUUGCGCUCGUUGCGGGACUUAACCCAACAUCUCACGACACGAGCUGACGACAGCCAUGCAGCACCUGUCUCACGGUUCCCGAAGGCACUCCCGCAUCUCUGCAAGAUUCCGUGGAUGUCAAGACCAGGUAAGGUUCUGCGCGUUGCAUCGAAUUAAACCACAUACUCCACCGCUUGUGCGGGCCCCCGUCAAUUCCUUUGAGUUUCAGUCUUGCGACCGUACUCCCCAGGCGGCGAACUUAACGCGUUAGCUUCGACACUGAAUGCUCAAUUGCACCCAACGUCCAGUUCGCAUCGUUUAGGGCGUGGACUAC
Molecule: unclassified non-coding RNA, 379 nt
Filed under: uncultured Lysobacterales bacterium
Lineage: Bacteria; Pseudomonadati; Pseudomonadota; Gammaproteobacteria; Lysobacterales
Description: uncultured Xanthomonadales bacterium contains 16S-23S intergenic spacer region
Source: RNAcentral